UCCACAACUUCAUAGUGGAAAUUAUGGUCCUAGGGAGCUACAAUUAUUUUCUUUAAGGAGAGUGGUUAAUAAAUUUUUACUUGUGUGUUUCAGAGCUGUAAUACAUUAUCAAAUUCACUAAGUCCGACAUGUUUUCACAAAUGUGGUUGUUACUUGUUAGUCUGUUGGUAGAGUUUGUAAUACCCUUAUAGUCUAUGCUUUAUUUACUGUUUGAGGGCUACUUCUCAUGGGUUGAGUAGCCUGCUUCUGCCUCUCCAAUUACUGAUAGGACAAAACAACACUUGGGCUCAACGAGAAUACCUCACUGAAGAAGUCAUGGCUGGAUGACUGGGUCCAUACGUUUAGUCUGAUCGUGUUUUUUUUUCAUCUUUAGCUGGGCUGAUUGUUCUUUUCUUCCUAGUUCCUAGAGGCUAGAGCUGGUCAUGGGCAAGGCCCUAAAAUGCCAACCUAUUUUGUCCCAGGUUAUCUCCACUUGUUCAAGUUGAAUAAUAUGCCCAAUCUCAACUAAUAGGAUCAGAUCUAUUUCUUACUAUUUACUAUAACAUUGUUUUUAAUAUCCUAGAUAACAAAUAUCUAUACAGGGUAUAUUGGAGAGUGGCAAUCUGAUGGGUGCAUGAAGAUUGAAGAUCAUUGAUCUUAUGAAAAACAUUUUCAAGUUUUCACAGGGAUAAUAUUAUUUCACUAGUUCAGUUGAAAACUUGGAGAAUACUUACUGUCUUGCCUCGGAAAUUGAUGCAAUAUAGGUUUAUGGAAAUAGCUUCCAGUCUUUCCUUGUUGUAGUUAACCCCAACAAGCGGGCUCUUGAAUCUUGGGCUGAAGAAUACAGUGUUGUAUGUGAUUUUAGUUCACUAUGCCAGCAUCCUAGAGCAAAGGCGUAUUUGUUAUGGAGUAACUGGUGUUAUGGAGUAACUGGGUUCUGCUUCUGUUCUGGUUGCACUUGGCUUGAUGCUGUUGUUGAGUGACAGAUGCAGGGUUCCACUUUGAAGAGUAGUUAGAUGUUCAGUCAGAUGGGAAGCUGUUGUUGCAACCGCUUAAAGAUGCUUCUUUUGGAGUGAGUUGCAGUUACAUUAUGACCACUUUUGGGGCAUCAAGCUGGCCUAGUUGUCUAAUCAUGUAUUCAAGUUUCAAGGGGAUCCAAGGCAUUGUAAAGCCAAGGGUACUUGUUUAUAU
Molecule: long non-coding RNA, 1170 nt
Organism: Spinacia oleracea (spinach)
Lineage: Eukaryota; Viridiplantae; Streptophyta; Magnoliopsida; Caryophyllales; Amaranthaceae
Exons: 3
Source: RefSeq, a predicted model, not a curated record